Molecule: long non-coding RNA, 924 nt
Filed under: Fukomys damarensis (Damara mole-rat)
Lineage: Eukaryota; Metazoa; Chordata; Mammalia; Rodentia; Bathyergidae
Description: lncRNA (ENSFDAG00000028540.1)
Source: RNAcentral
CAACUAGUUUGGGCCACAGGCAUGGAGUGCAGUUAAACACUGCUGUGAUGGAAUUAUCAGUUCCCUUCACCUCUUCAUGUUUUACCUCUACAAAAUGUCUAUUGAGAAGUUUCAAAGCAGGUACCUGCUGCCUCAUCAUCGGCAUGAUGAUUUUAGGGAAGUGCCACUGUACAGAGCCGAGACCUGCACACUCCGAACGCACUUUCUGUACUCCCUGAACUUAAUCAACAAUAGACAAGUAGAAGAACAGAACUUGCAGAAUUCUCACAUCCAGUUCUUGGAUGAAUUUUCACAGCCGCAGCUCUGUCACCUUUAACAUCAAAAGACAAAGCAAAGCCUCUAAUAAUGAGAUCGUGCUGAGCUACAAGUCCACUGGCCUCAAUGGAAAGCUCAGAUUUCUGCUUCCCAGGGAGAGAAAUCAGAGGCAGGACCUGAGACUGUGUGUUUAACACAGGGCAUCUGAGCAGAUGCACACUGAGCAUGCGGAACAAGGGGCACAGAAAUGACACACAAUCCUACAGACUGGAGGCAAGUCGCAGAGAAAACACAUGCAGGGACUCGGGGACAAGCAGAGAGGGGGUGUAUGGCAGUGCACCUGGUUUUGAAGGGUAUGGAACAUCCCCGAUACUUGAGCUUUGAAAGCUAUGUGACUGGUUUUAAUUUGUGGAGAUAAAUUUCAAUAUAAAAUUGGGGUUGGGCAUCAUUAGUUUUUCACCAGUGGGAUCUCUGCAAAUCCAGAAAUGGUUCUGUAACUAGACACCCGAUGGUAGAGAAUGAUUGUAUUCAUAUUAUGAAAUAAACUACACAAACAGCAUAAAACAGGGAGCAAAAUAGAAUGCUCUUAUCCAUAGUCUGAAUAAAACUGGCCCAUCUCAUUGUCUCCAGAUCACCUUUAGCAAGUGUCAUAUUAAACUAAAACAGCAA